CAGUCGCCGCGGUAAUACGAAGGGGGCUAGCGUUGUUCGGAUUUACUGGGCGUAAAGGGCGCGUAGGCGGAUUGAUAAGUCAGGGGUGAAAUCCCGAGGCUCAACCUCGGUACUGCCUUUGAUACUGUUGAUCUUGAGUCCGGGAGAGGUGAGUGGAACUGCGAGUGUAGAGGUGAAAUUCGUAGAUAUUCGCAAGAACACCGGUGGCGAAGGCGGCUCACUGGCCCGGUACUGACGCUGAGGCGCGAAAGCGUGGGGAGCAAACAGGAUUAGAUACCCCCGUAGUCCCUGUCUCUUAUAC
This 301-nucleotide ribosomal RNA is filed under the name uncultured bacterium. RNAcentral's name for it is "partial 16S ribosomal RNA". It matches the Rfam family "Bacterial small subunit ribosomal RNA", at positions 509 to 807 of the family's 1533-position model. The record is from RNAcentral.